UAUGGCUCAUAUGUGAGUGUAAAAAACUGAAAUUUGAAUAACUAUCUGAAUAUUCAUUGGAUCAUCUUGAAACCAUCACCAAAAUACUUGUCAUCAUUUCUUACAAUAGGAUUGUCUACUCACUAUUCAUAUUAUGUAUUUUUCUAGGGUUUGAAACUUAAUUCAACUUUUCAUGCUACAUAUAAGGCUCAUAUGGUUUGAAACUUAAUUCAACUUUUCGUGCUACAUAUAAGGCUCAUAUGUGGGAGGAGUUCUGGGGUAGAACUUCGAAUGCUCGAUGAUUUCGCUGAUACAGUGUCAUCUUUAGGAGGUUCACCAAAUUGGCAAGGAUGUUAACUAAGGAUAUUUGUGACGAGCUGUAUGUGUUUAAAGUUAAAGUGUCAGGUUAAGUUAAUAUAAUUUAAUUUUUGAUGUUAUUUAAUUUAUGACUGCAUU
Melanaphis sacchari is the source of this 435-nucleotide long non-coding RNA. RefSeq lists it as uncharacterized. The record is from RefSeq and is a predicted model, not a curated record. NCBI's taxonomy places the organism in Eukaryota, Metazoa, Arthropoda, Insecta, Hemiptera, Aphididae. The transcript has 3 exons.